UUCAUUGGAAGCCUGGAGACUCCAAUCACCUCAAGCCCCUUAAUUGCAUGGUACCUUUCCAACCUCCCAGCCUAUAGGACGGCAGUGAACCCACUUCUGAGGGGAAUCGAAGUGGGUCUGGCUCACGGCUUCCUCCUGGUUGGUCCAUUCGUAAAGGCCGGCCCUCUAAGGAACACUGCGGUGGCGGGUCAAGCUGGGUCCUUAGCCGCUGCCGGUUUGGUUGUGAUCCUCAGCAUUUGCUUGACGAUGUAUGGCGUUGCGUCGUUCAAAGAAGGUGAGCCAUCGAUAGCACCGAGCCUAACCCUGACUGGGAGGAAGAAAGAGCCAGACCAGUUGCAAACGGCGGAUGGAUGGGCUAAGUUCACUGGAGGGUUCUUCUUUGGUGGAAUCUCUGGUGUCACUUGGGCUUACUUCCUCCUGUAUGUCCUUGACCUUCCUUACUACUUUAAGUAGAUCAUCAUUUGAUCUAUGUUUUACCUGGUCC
This 484-nucleotide long non-coding RNA is filed under the name Gossypium barbadense (sea-island cotton). RNAcentral's name for it is "long non-coding RNA (GBAR_LNC006401)". Lineage: Eukaryota; Viridiplantae; Streptophyta; Magnoliopsida; Malvales; Malvaceae. The record is from RNAcentral.